Non-coding RNA from Sus scrofa (pig), 776 nucleotides. Lineage: Eukaryota; Metazoa; Chordata; Mammalia; Artiodactyla; Suidae. The record is from RefSeq and is a predicted model, not a curated record.
ACUCCCUCCUUCUGCCGCCCUCUCCCGCGCCACCCAGCCCCCUACCCGCCACCGCGUCCCGGCUCCGUGCGUUCCCGCCCGAGGACCCGCGCAGGGCUCGGAGAGGCGCGUGGCUCGGCGCUUCCGCCGAGGCCCCGGGCCCUUCGGCGUGCGGCAGGUCUGACUCUCCGAUGCCACCUGCUGCUCAGGUCUGCAGAACCCCAGCACCGGUCGCAGUCACCCCAGUGCGGGUAGGGUAAUCCAGUGUUUCCCGGUAAGCCCCCACUCUCUGCCCUGUUCUCAGCAAGAUGCCUGGAAGCUGACGUUCCAGAGGCUUCUUCGGAAAUGCUCCCCCUCCUUUCCAGAUAGCCCAGGAAUCAGAGGUGGCGGGUGAAACUCAGAAAAGUCAUGAACUUGCCUAACUCUCCUACCGAGAUCCUUUGCCCCGUUAAUUUUACCCGCCUUUAUGUGACAGGGACUAACAGAGGACUGUGGCCCUCCCCCCCCUUCCCCUUCCCCAAGCCUCCCUCCAGUCACCAGCUUUCCUGCUCUUCAAUUAUUGACAAGCUGCAGUGUUGGAAGUUCUCGGGUUUAAAGACGGGGUGGGGGCGGGGUGGGGGCUCCUUAUCCGCCCUCUGAGCAGGAGCUGUGCCCAGGGAAUGGUACCUCAACUCCCACCCCAAAACGUCUUUCCCUCCUCCUUGCCGCCCCCCCACCCCAGCUUCUCCUGAGUGAAAACAUUAAAAAGUGCUGGAGGAAGUUGGACAGAAACUUUCACAAGCCAGCUGCACAGUUAA